CCUACGGGUGGCAGCAGUGGGGGAUAUUGCACAAUGGUGGGAACCCUGAUGCAGCGACGCCGCGUGGGUGAAGAAGCGCCUCGGCGCGUAAAGCCCUGUCAGCCAGGGAGAAAAUGACGGUACCUGAAGCAGAAGCCCCGGCUAACUACGUGCCAGCCCCCGCGGUAAUACGGAGGGAGCAAGCGUUAUCCGGAUUUACUGGGGGUAAAGGGGGCGCAGACGGCGAUGCAAGCCAGGAGUGAAAGCCCGGGGCCCAACCCCGGGACUGCUGUUGGAACUGCGUGGCUGGAGUGGAGGAGGGGCAGGCGGAAGGCCUGGUGUAGCGGUGAAAUGCGUAGAUAUCAGGAGGAACACCGGUGGCGAAGGCGGCCUGCGGG
Molecule: ribosomal RNA, 377 nt
Filed under: uncultured bacterium
Lineage: Bacteria
Description: partial 16S ribosomal RNA
Rfam family: Bacterial small subunit ribosomal RNA
Source: RNAcentral